This 1083-nucleotide unclassified non-coding RNA is filed under the name Zea mays. RNAcentral describes it as "misc RNA Zm00001eb088710". The record is from RNAcentral. Lineage: Eukaryota; Viridiplantae; Streptophyta; Magnoliopsida; Poales; Poaceae.
CUGACAUCGGCAAAGGCGUCCGUUCCAUCCAGUCCUAUCCUCGAGCCGGACGCCGCCCUGGAUCCGGGCGGCGCGGCAUCCGGCGUCCGAGUACAAAUAGUGGACGGCGUCCAAGUUCCGACCCAAGUCAAACUAGGGCCAGCGGCAGGCCAGAUCCGUGCGACCCUCGCCUUCUCGGAGAAGCUUCACACCUCUCCUUGCUUUGAUAAACAAGUCAUAGUGGACUUGGGUCGGAACUUGGGUCGCCGUCCACUAUUUGUACUCGGACGCCGGAUGUCGCGCCGCCCGGAUACAGGGCGGCGUCCGGCUCGGGGACAGGACAGGACGGGACGGACGCCUUUGCCGAUGUCAGUGAUUCCUCGCUGCUUCACGAUUCACCGGAGGGGGUGCAUGCUCAUAUCCCUAGAUUCAAAUUCUGCAUUAGUGAUUUGUUUGGAUAUUGACCGUAAGCACCUUCUCAUCCAGAUUGAGCCAAAGGGUGUGAACUCAUCUCGGUCCAUUGACAUCGAUCAGCAAUCGGAGAAGCACAAGAGUAUGUCAAGAGUGUCAGCUUCAGUGGAGAGAGAGCUUGUUCAUGAACAACCCACUGACGACGAUGCGUCUGCGCUGGCGUAUUUGGUUCGACGUCGGUGUCCAAACACGUAUCUCUUUUUUUAUGGACAUGCACUGGAGGACCGUGUUGUUCGGAUGACUUUUAUAGCUAAGCCGACCUAUUCCAGUAGGAGAAAAUACCUCAAUGACUUGCUAGAUGCUGAUCUUGUGAGCCUGAGUCGAGGUGACAGGAAAAGAUGGCAUAACAUGCGGGCUGCUGCUGAGGCUGCUGCUGAGGCAGCUGCUCAGGCUGCGAGGCUGCUGCUCAGGCUGAGCCUGCUGACCAUGCAGGCCAUGAAGACUAAACCUGAUGGUGCUGCCGACAUUGUGCUAGUCACUUUAGACGUUAUGUUGCUACUUUCGAUCACUUUCUUGAUUUUUGCCACGGUGGCGGUGCCGGCGCUGAGGUCUAGGAGCCUGAGCUGGGCGGCGCUGAGGUCUAGGACUUCCUCAAGAGAUGUUGUAACCCUUCAGUUAAUAGUUAAUGGAUAA